CCCUUAGAUGUUCUGGGCCGCACGCGCGCUACACUGACGAUGGCAACGAGUUUUUCCUUCGCCGAAAGGUGUGGGUAAUCUUUUGAAACAUCGUCGUGCUGGGAUAGAUCAUUGCAAUUUUUGAUCUUGAACGAGGAAUUCCUAGUAAGCGCGAGUCAUCAGCUCGCGUUGAUUACGUCCCUGCCCUUUGUACACACCGCCCGUCGCUACUACCGAUUGAAUGGUUUAGUGAGGACUCCUGAUUGGCGCCGCCGCCCCGGCAACGGAGCAGCGGACUGCCGAAAAGUUGUUCAAACUUGAUCAUUUAGAGGAAGUAAAAGUCGUAACA
This 328-nucleotide ribosomal RNA is filed under the name uncultured eukaryote. Its description in RNAcentral is "partial 18S ribosomal RNA". It matches the Rfam family "Eukaryotic small subunit ribosomal RNA", at positions 1470 to 1796 of the family's 1831-position model. The record is from RNAcentral.